Long non-coding RNA from Conger conger (European conger), 1335 nucleotides. RefSeq lists it as uncharacterized. The transcript is spliced from 4 exons. Lineage: Eukaryota; Metazoa; Chordata; Actinopteri; Anguilliformes; Congridae. The record is from RefSeq and is a predicted model, not a curated record.
GACCAAUCACAGCGCCAUGUGCACAUAGUGAACGUUUACCAAUGCCCUCCUGGCUUCGGUAGCUACUUCCAGGGUCACACAGGAAAUGUGAUGUGGCUGUUACUUUCACAAUGUCUGCCAUUUUCAACUUCCAGAGCCUCCUCACAGUGAUCCUGCUCCUCAUCUGCACGUGUGCCUAUCUCCGCUCCCUCACCCCCACCCUGCUGGACAAGAACAAAACAGGGAUUCUGGGAAUAUUCUGGAAAUGUGCAAGAAUAGGUGAGCGGAAGAGCCCAUACGUGGCCUGUUGCUGCAUCAUCAUGGCCGUGACCAUCCUGUUUGGGCAGUAGCUCGGCGUAACGGAGUGGACCGGCGUGAUUCGGCGAGGAAGGCAGCGAGGUCCAACAAUGACUACUACAACUACUACUUCUGACCACUCUGUUCCAGAGCGGGCGCGUCAUCAACGUAACGGACAAUUCCCAGCCAGUCACCCGCGGCAACGAGUUUGGGGUCGUCGCCGAGACCGAAAGGUCGCCAAACGGACUGCAGAGUGCUCAAACGCGCAGGUCUUCAUCUGCCGAGCCUGUGGGGCUUUCCAGAAACAUAACAUGGCGGGCCCCUUGUAACGUCGCUGUCGGCAUAGGAGCCUCGUUUUCCAGGACCCCCACCUCCCCUGUGUCAAUAGCGUGUGUUGGAGGGCUGAGGAAUUGUAAAAUGUCAUGUUUCUUUUUUUUUUUUGGUUGUUUUCUGUCAUCCAAAGUAGCUUGUCAGACACCAAAAUGCGGAAAAGCUAUCCCAUCUGUUUGUUUGAAGUCAGCGCUCUACAGCGCGAGCGCUUCAUGGGCCCUUCCUGAGGGCCUGUACACACGGUCCGAAGUGUUUCAGUGAGCCUGCUGACCGGCAGCUCUUGUAAAGCCAUUUAACGAUUUAUUAAAAAUAAAUCAUGUUUUUGAAGAGCACUGAAAAACAAACGUUUCAUUGUUUGCUGAUGUGCAGUUUGCCUACAAACUUUCCACUUUCCAGAUGAAUUUUUGGGCAAGGAAUGGCAGAGAGAAUAGCUAGCUGAUCAUCAUCCCCAUGUUGAAACCUUAUGUGAACUUAAAUGGCCUGUUCCGCAGACAAAGGCAAGCCUAGUCCUAGACUAAAUUCAAUUAUGAAUGUAGAUUCAAUUUAGUUCGGGACUAAGCUUAAUCUGUGUCCGUGAAUCCGGUCCAAACAGUUUAGUAUAACAGAAUUUGUGUUCUUUCAAAAUUGGCAAAAUUGCUCAAUAUGGUUUACAGAUACAAAGUUAUUUGCACACUGCUAUGUUCAGGUGAAAUAAAAUAAAGUCAGCAAUGGAUUGGGUAUUACCAAUUA